UUCCCUUCUUGGUAGGUCCUCUUCCACAUCUCACAGUUCAUGCCUAGCCUCUGUAUACUUCAUCUCUGUAAAGGUGGGACAAGUGGAAACAUCUCUAUAUACUUUUUGCAUAGUGCUCUUUUGCUGAGUGGUCUGGUGUUUGAAGGCAGAGUAACCAAGUGGUGCAGGAGAAGGAAGGGAAGGGAUGCAUCACCUUCCCCUGCUUGUAAGGAUACCAGGGAAAAUAAAGUAAUAUUGAUUGGAGCUACAACUCUUCUUCAGCACCCUAAGGAUUAUUCUGUUUUUCAGGGAAAAAAAACUUAAAGAAAAGCGAGCAGAUUUAUAAAGCUGUGUGGUGGCAGUGAUCUUCCACUCCUCCUUCAGGAUCUACAAAAAGCUGGGACCAACUCGUCCUGUGGAAAGGCAAGGCAUGUACCAGCCUCGUCUGAACCACUAAAAGAAACCAGGCGUUUCCUUCUCAUGAGAACACAGUGCACUUCCUCUAAUGAGAAUAGAACAAGCUUUGGAAGAAGCACAUCAGCAUUUGAAGACAAUGGAAUCACAGGUCUCAAAAUGCAGAGAUAAUACGUUUGGACAGAUGUGACUGUAAUGCUGUCAGCUGCUGCUAUUCCAUAUCAAGGCCUCUAAUAAUUGCUGUUUAUUCUUUAAGCCGAAGCCCUUGGAGAUAAGUUAUUAGAGGCAAAUAUUAGCGUUCAUUUUUUUUUAAGGGAGAUUCUGAGAAAAUCUUGAAAUCAUGACCCAAAUGUGCACUAACAGUUAAAAAUACACACAACAAAUAAAAAUAGCCUGCAACUGUA
This is a long non-coding RNA of Harpia harpyja (harpy eagle), 797 nucleotides long. RefSeq lists it as uncharacterized. Lineage: Eukaryota; Metazoa; Chordata; Aves; Accipitriformes; Accipitridae. The transcript has 2 exons. The record is from RefSeq and is a predicted model, not a curated record.